AUGCAAGUCGAACGGCAGCGGGGGCUUCGGCCUGCCGGCGAGUGGCGAACGGGUGAGUAAUGCAUCGGAACGUGCCCAAGUCGUGGGGGAUAACGUAUCGAAAGGUACGCUAAUACCGCAUACGUCCUGAGGGAGAAAGCGGGGGAUUCUUCGGAACCUCGCGCGAUUGGAGCGGCCGAUGUCGGAUUAGCUAGUAGGUGAGGUAAAGGCUCACCUAGGCGACGAUCCGUAGCGGGUCUGAGAGGAUGAUCCGCCACACUGGGACUGAGACACGGCCCAGACUCCUACGGGAGGCAGCAGUGGGGAAUUUUGGACAAUGGGCGCAAGCCUGAUCCAGCCAUGCCGCGUGAGUGAAGAAGGCCUUCGGGUUGUAAAGCUCUUUCGGCCGGGAAGAAAUCGUGUUCUCUAACAUAGGACAUGGAUGACGGUACCGGACUAAGAAGCACCGGCUAACUACGUGCCAGCAGCCGCGGUAAUACGUAGGGUGCGAGCGUUAAUCGGAAUUACUGGGCGUAAAGCGUGCGCAGGCGGUUUUGUAAGACAGAUGUGAAAUCCCCGGGCUUAACCUGGGAACUGCGUAUGUGACUGCAAGGCUAGAGUACGGCAGAGGUGUGUGGAAUUCCUGGUGUAGCAGUGAAAUGCGUAGAUAUCAGGAGGAACACCGAUGGCGAAGGCAGCCCCCUGGGCCUGUACUGACGCUCAUGCACGAAAGCGUGGGGAGCAAACAGGAUUAGAUACCCUGGUAGUCCACGCCCUAAACGAUGUCGACUAGUCGUUCGGAGCAGCAAUGCACUGAGUGACGCAGCUAACGCGUGAAGUCGACCGCCUGGGGAGUACGGCCGCAAGGUUUAAACUCAAAGGAAUUGACGGGGACCCGCACAAGCGGUGGAUGAUGUGGAUUAAUUCGAUGCAACGCGAAAAACCCUUACCUACCCUUUGACAUGUCUGGAACCUUGCUGAGAGGCGAGGGUGCCUUUCGGGAGCCAGAACACAGGUGCUGCAUGGCUGUCGUCAGCUCGUGGUCGUGAGAUGUUGGGUUAAGUUCCGCAACGAGCGCCAACCCUUGUCCCUAGUUGCCAUCAUUUGGUUUGGCACUCUUAGUGAGAACUGCCGGUGACAAACCGUAGGAAGUGGGGUAUGACGUCAGGUCCUCAUGCCCUUAUGGUUAGGGCUUCCCACGUCAUACAUUGGCCGGUACAAAGGGGUGCCCAAGCGCAGGGGUGGACCAUCCUUAGGCGCAAUCGUACUCGGAAUCGGUAUUCCUGGGCAACUCA
RNAcentral lists this ribosomal RNA (1274 nucleotides) under bacterium CYCU-0212. RNAcentral's name for it is "bacterial SSU rRNA". It matches the Rfam family "Bacterial small subunit ribosomal RNA", at positions 55 to 1314 of the family's 1533-position model. The record is from RNAcentral.